RNAcentral lists this ribosomal RNA (497 nucleotides) under uncultured bacterium. RNAcentral's name for it is "partial 16S ribosomal RNA". It matches the Rfam family "Bacterial small subunit ribosomal RNA", at positions 28 to 507 of the family's 1533-position model. The record is from RNAcentral.
GAUGAACGCUGGCGGCGUGCCUAAUACAUGCAAGUCGAGCGAACAGACGAGGAGCUUGCUCCUUCGACGUUAGCGGCGGACGGGUGAGUAACACGUAGGUAACCUACCUAUAAGACUGGGAUAACUUCGGGAAACCGGAGCUAAUACCGGAUAAUAUUUCGCACCUCAUGGUUCGCUAGUGAAAGAUGGCUUUUCUAUCACUUAUAGAUGGACCUGCGCCGUAUUAGCUAGUUGGUAAGGUAACGGCUUACCAAGGCAACGAUACGUAGCCGACCUGAGAGGGUGAUCGGCCACACUGGAACUGAGACACGGUCCAGACUCCUACGGGAGGCAGCAGUAGGGAAUCUUACGCAAUGGGCGAAAGCCUGACGUAGCAACGCCGCGUGAGUGAUGAAGGUCUUCGGAUCGUAAAACGCUGUUAUUAGGGAAGAACAAACGUGUAAGUAACUGUGCACGUCUUGACGGUACCUAAUCAGAAAGCCACGGCUAACUACGUG